GAGGGUAUGGCUCAGUGGCAGAGCAAAUGCCUAGCAUGCAUGAGGUCAUGGGUUUGAUCCCCAGUCCAUUA
Molecule: transfer RNA, 71 nt
Filed under: Camelus ferus (Wild Bactrian camel)
Lineage: Eukaryota; Metazoa; Chordata; Mammalia; Artiodactyla; Camelidae
Rfam family: tRNA
About the family: Transfer RNA (tRNA) molecules are approximately 80 nucleotides in length. Their secondary structure includes four short double-helical elements and three loops (D, anti-codon, and T loops).
Source: Rfam by way of RNAcentral